Molecule: ribosomal RNA, 684 nt
Filed under: uncultured Bacteroidales bacterium
Lineage: Bacteria; Pseudomonadati; Bacteroidota; Bacteroidia; Bacteroidales
Description: bacterial SSU rRNA
Rfam family: Bacterial small subunit ribosomal RNA
Source: RNAcentral
GGGCAGCGGAUACUUAGCUUGCUAAGUAUGCCGGCGACCGGCGCACGGGUGAGUAACGCGUACCGAACCUGCCCAUCACACAGGGAUAGGCUUGCGAAAGCAAGAUUAAUACCUGAUGGUCUCAAUUUUAUGCAUGUAUGAUUGAGUAAAGCCUUCGGGCGGUGAUGGAUGGCGGUGCGUCCCAUUAGGAAGUUGGCGGGGUAACGGCCCACCAAUCCUUCGAUGGGUAGGGGUUCUGAGAGGAAGGUCCCCCACAUUGGAACUGAGAUACGGUCCAAACUCCUACGGGAGGCAGCAGUGAGGAAUAUUGGUCAAUGGGCGAGAGCCUGAACCAGCCAAGUAGCGUGUGGGAUGAAGGCCCUUGUGGUCGUAAACCGCUUUUAUCAGUGAAUAAAGUGCACCACGUGUGGUGUCAUUGCAGGUAGCUGAAGAAAAAGGACCGGCUAAUUCCGUGCCAGCAGCCGCGGUAAUACGGAAGGUCCGGGCGUUAUCCGGAAUUAUUGGGUUUAAAGGGAGCGCAGGCGGGAGUAUAAGUCAGCUGUUAAAUAUCAGGGCCCAACUCUGUUAUGCAGUUGAAACUAUAUUUCUUGAGUACGCACAGGGAUGGCGGAAUUCAGGGUGUAGCGGUGAAUGCUUAGAUAUCCUGAAGAACUCCGAUCGCGAAGGCAGCCAUCCGGAGCGUAA